UAUUUCAUGGAGAGUUUGAUCCUGGCUCAGGACGAACGCUGGCGGCGUGCCUAAUACAUGCAAGUCGAGC
RNAcentral lists this ribosomal RNA (70 nucleotides) under Bacillus licheniformis. RNAcentral's name for it is "partial 16S ribosomal RNA". It matches the Rfam family "Bacterial small subunit ribosomal RNA", at positions 1 to 67 of the family's 1533-position model. Lineage: Bacteria; Bacillati; Bacillota; Bacilli; Caryophanales; Bacillaceae. The record is from RNAcentral.